RNAcentral lists this ribosomal RNA (492 nucleotides) under uncultured bacterium. Its description in RNAcentral is "partial 16S ribosomal RNA". It matches the Rfam family "Bacterial small subunit ribosomal RNA", at positions 29 to 507 of the family's 1533-position model. The record is from RNAcentral.
AGUGAACGCUGGCGGUAGGCCUAACACAUGCAAGUCGAACGGCAGCACAGUAAGAGCUUGCUCUUACGGGUGGCGAGUGUCGGACGGGUGAGGAAUACAUCGGAAUCUACUUUUUCGUGGGGGAUAACGUAGGGAAACUUACGCUAAUACCGCAUACGACCUACGGGUGAAAGCAGGGAAUCUUCGGACCUUGCGCGAUUGAAUGAGCCGAUGUCGGAUUAGCUAGUUGGCGGGGUAAAGGCCCACCAAGGCGACGAUCCGUAGCUGGUCUGAGAGGAUGAUCAGCCACACUGGAACUGAGACACGGUCCAGACUCCUACGGGAGGCAGCAGUGGGGAAUAUUGGACAAUGGGCGCAAGCCUGAUCCAGCCAUACCGCGUGGGUGAAGAAGGCCUUCGGGUUGUAAAGCCCUUUUGUUGGGAAAGAAAAGCAGCAGGUUAAUACCCCGCUGUUCUGACGGUACCCAAAGAAUAAGCACCGGCUAACUUCGUG